Molecule: long non-coding RNA, 454 nt
Organism: Phragmites australis (common reed)
Lineage: Eukaryota; Viridiplantae; Streptophyta; Magnoliopsida; Poales; Poaceae
Exons: 2
Source: RefSeq, a predicted model, not a curated record
AAGGCCCACCGGCCGACGUGGCUAUGCAAUUGUUCCCUCGUUCUGUUGUUCCCUUCCGUUCGAGCGAGGCGACGUCAUUGUUCCCGUCCGUUUGAGCGAAGCAGGAGUCCGCGGUCUCGCCCGGCUCUAGCGCUUGGCGCCUGAGCCAUGGUCAAGGAGAAGGAGAGGCUGACGGCGGGGAGAUCUGCGUGCGGGGUCAUCUCAACCGGAAAGCUCCCUCGCUCUCUCCGAAAGUGAUGUCUGCAGGGAGGAAACGUGGGAUGGCUUCCGAGAAGUCGUCAAAACUGUUGGGAAAGGAACGCCACGGCAAACCAUCUCCAGGCUUUUCAAGGCACGAAUUAAUUGUGCUAGAUUUUUGCCGUCCUCGUUUCCAUGGCUGCUUUCCUCGGUUAUUUCCAUGAGUUAUGUUUUUCUGACUAGUCUUAUGAAAAUACUAAAAUAUUGGCAACUACUA